RNAcentral lists this ribosomal RNA (408 nucleotides) under Triticum aestivum (bread wheat). Its description in RNAcentral is "partial small subunit ribosomal RNA". The record is from RNAcentral. Lineage: Eukaryota; Viridiplantae; Streptophyta; Magnoliopsida; Poales; Poaceae.
AGACCAGGAAGGAAGGGACAGCAACCCUUCCGUGGGCGACUUCGCGAGCUCGUCAGAUCCUCUUCUUCUCAUCCCGUCUAAGUUUAGUCGUCGUACUCCCUAUUCCGCCGGUACUGAUUCCACUGUAUAACUCCUCGUCCUGCGUCGCUAUCCCUCCGUCUCUAACGAUGAAGCCGGAAGCAGGUGAAGAAGCGGGACGUGUACGUAUAGAAGGGCGUGGUAAAGGAGGUUCGAUCCUACUUACAUUGGUGCCAGGUCGCCGUUGUUGAAUCCAGACUCUUUGUAGGCGGGUGUUCGGUGGUAUCGACUGCCGAUACACUACGAGCUCGAGGCUGAGAAGUAAGCUAGUAGUUAAGAGUCCAAACAAGUAGAAGACGCAUGGAGUUAAAGAACCGAAGACCUUGUUUG